GACGAACGCUGGCGGCGUGCUUAACACAUGCAAGUCGAACGAAGUGGCGAACGGGUGAGUAACGCGUAAUCAACCUGCCCUUCAGAGGGGGACAACAGUUGGAAACGACUGCUAAUACCGCAUACUGAAGGAGGGGCUUGCGUCUUAUUAGCUAGUUGGAGGGGUAACGGCCCCCCAAGGCGAUGCUAAGGAGCCUGUCUGAGAGGAUGAACGGCCCCAUUGGGACUGAGAAACGGCCCAGACUCCUACGGGAGGCAGCAGGGGGGAAUCUUCCGCAAGGGACGAAAGUCUGACGGAGCAACGCCGCGUGAGUGAUGACGGCCUUCGGUUUGUAAAGCUCUGUUAAUCGGGACGCGGUACCGGAAUAGAAAGCCACGGCUAACUACGUGCCAGCAGCCGCGGUAAUUC
Molecule: ribosomal RNA, 408 nt
Filed under: uncultured bacterium
Lineage: Bacteria
Description: partial 16S ribosomal RNA
Rfam family: Bacterial small subunit ribosomal RNA
Source: RNAcentral